This 72-nucleotide transfer RNA is filed under the name Ictidomys tridecemlineatus (thirteen-lined ground squirrel). Its description in RNAcentral is "Spermophilus tridecemlineatus (thirteen-lined ground squirrel) tRNA". It matches the Rfam family "tRNA". Rfam says of the family: Transfer RNA (tRNA) molecules are approximately 80 nucleotides in length. Their secondary structure includes four short double-helical elements and three loops (D, anti-codon, and T loops). Further hydrogen bonds mediate the characteristic L-shaped molecular structure. tRNAs have two regions of fundamental functional importance: the anti-codon, which is responsible for specific mRNA codon recognition, and the 3' end, to which the tRNAs corresponding amino acid is attached (by aminoacyl-tRNA synthetases). tRNAs cope with the degeneracy of the genetic code in two manners: having more than one tRNA (with a specific anti-codon) for a particular amino acid; and 'wobble' base-pairing, i.e. permitting non-standard base-pairing at the 3rd anti-codon position. Lineage: Eukaryota; Metazoa; Chordata; Mammalia; Rodentia; Sciuridae. The record is from Rfam by way of RNAcentral.
CGAGGUGUGGCUCAGUGGUAGAGUGCUUGCCUAGCACAUAUGAGGCACUGGGUUCAAUCCUCAGCAUCACAU